This 2111-nucleotide long non-coding RNA is filed under the name Homo sapiens (human). RNAcentral's name for it is "PANK1 antisense RNA 1, transcript variant 4 (PANK1-AS1)". The record is from RNAcentral. Lineage: Eukaryota; Metazoa; Chordata; Mammalia; Primates; Hominidae.
CUGCCCGCCACCGCCACCGACGAGUUUCAACAUGGGGAAUCAAGUUCUCUGGGCUUGCAGAGAGGAGAUGGGCGGGUUGGGCUUUGUAUGGCGAUGUGAAAACCAGAUGGGUCUGGGAGAGACAGCGAAAGGAGCGAACCGUUUCAGGAGGAAUACGGGAGGAAGACAAUUAUUUGCAGAGGUGUCAGGUUUGCUAAUCCUGUCCCCAGUGAGCAAGAUACCUUUGCAAGGGGAUUUGAUGCAGAUGAUCAUCAUGGCUUGGAGAAACAAUGAAGGAAGCAAAGUAUGCCAUCUAUGCUGCGGGAGGUAACUCCAGAAGACCCCAGAGAGAACGAGUUUGGACUUUUAACUGAGGGCCAUUGGAAACUACUGAAGAGUUUUAGGCAGCAUAAGAACUACUAGAUUUUCAUUGUGGGAGGAUCCUCAGCAGCAGCCUCAGAAAGGAGAUUGGGGAAGGAGAUCCCUAGUCAGGGAGACCAAGAAGACUACUGGAAAAAAACAGGGGAAUCCUCAAGGACCUGCAAACAAGAAACCAAAUCCCCCCACUCCCCCCAGCCAAAAUGUGUUCAUUUUGACCAGCUGUGUGUGUGUUUUAAAUUAAAAGUUUGAAUUAGAAAGCAAGUAGGAUAAAUUUAUAUACUUAGAUGUAUAAAUUUAAAUACCUGGCCCCUGAAGCACUUCUGAUAGGUCUCAGCUACCCAAACAAGAAGAACGGAAUCUUUGAAUCCCCAGGACUCAACGCAGUACUGGACACAAAAUGGGAGCUGAAAAAGUGUGUGUGGAGUCAGUGAAGGAUGCAAUUUCCCCUCAUUGUAGAGAUGAAGAAGCUGAGGCUGCAGAGUAGAAUAGGAGCAGACAGUGGGGAUUGUCUUCAAAGUAGGUUCCUAGUUCCUGGCUCAGAGGUCCCAGUUUUUGUUGACCAUGGACAGUAAAACUCCCUGGGGAAGCGGGCCCAGUCUCAGGAGAGCAGUUUUGAUUGGUCUAAGUUUGUGAUUGACUUAGGAACUGUCUGGCCAAUGAAAUAUGAGGGAAAGCCUGGGGGAUUCUGGGAAAGGUUUUGUAAACCAAAAAGUAUUUGAGACAUGUCUCAAUUUUAGAGGAUUAUUUUGCCAAGGUUAAGGACCAUUGCCCAUACAGCCUCAGGAGGCCCUGAGAACAUAUACCCAAGGUGGUUGGGGUACAGCUUCAUUUUAUACAUUUUAGGGAGUCAGAAGUUACAGGCAAAGACAUAAAUCAAUACAUGCAAGGUAUACAUUGGUUUGGCCCAGAGAGGUGGAACAUCUAGAAGCAGGAGCUUCCAGGUCAUAAGUGGAUUCAAAGAUUUCCUGAUUGGCAGUUUGUUGACAGAGUUAAGCUCCGCCCCAAGAGUUGAUGUCAGCUUAAAUUAAGGUAAGGGGGUGCUUUGUGGAAACCAACGUUCUUAUCAUGUAUAUGAAGCCUCCAGGCUUCAGCGAGAAUAGAUGUGAAUGUCUUUUAUUGGACCUUAAAAAUUGUCAGACUUUCUGGAAAAGACCUAAUAAGGGAAUCUUUACAGAACAUAAUUUUUUCACCCACAAGUGACAGCUUGGCAGGGCCGUUUCAAAAUAUGUAAAGAAAUAUAAUUUGAGGUAAAAUAAUUUGAUUUCCUUCAGGGCCCACUGGCUGUCACGUGAUGUUAUACCAGAGUCAGAUUGGAAUCUGUUGUCUUACUGCUACCAAGAUUUUGUCUUGACAGUCUUAAGAUUCCUGUUUUAAUGUCAGUUCUGGUCAGUUGUGUCUAAACUCAAAAGGAAGGAGGGUAUAAUGAGGCAUGUUUCACCCCCUCUUUCCCAUCAUGGCCUGAACUAGUUUUUCAGGUGUUUUUUUGAAUCCCUUUGGCCAAGGGGGAUCCAUUCAGUCAGCUGAGGGGCUUAGAAUUUUAUUUUUGGUUUAUAGUUUCCUCUUGAUUAAAGAAGGAAGUCUGCAAUGUGGGUUUGUAACCUAGUUUUUAAUAACUUUACAUCAGACUUGUAAUUUAUUGUUACUUUCUGAAGACACACUGAUAAAACCUCUCUACCAUGACGUCAUUGCAUGUUUUCACGGUAGAAAUUCUAAUUAUUUGCUAAAGUGAAAAUAAAGUCAAACAUGCCUAA